AUUUGAUAAUUAAAUGGAUACUAGUAGGAAACUAGAGUCUAAUACAUGACCAAGGUCGUAAGACUGUCAUUUAUUAGAUAUACCAGUCGGUGAAUCAUAUACUAGCAAAUCGAAACAACGUUUCGAUAAAUCAUUCAAGUUUCUGACCUAUCAUGCUGGAUGGUAGUGUAUUGGACUACCAAGGCAGUCACGGGUAACGGAGAAUUAGGGUUCGAUUCCGGAGAAGGAGCCUGAGAAACGGCUACUACAUCUAAGGAAGGCAGCAGGCGCGUAAAUUACCCAAUCCUAAAAUCAGGGAGGUAGUGACAAGAUAUAACAACGCGAUUAAAUAUCGCGAUUGUAGUGAGGGUAUUCUAAAAAUAGCUUCGAGUACGAUUGGAGGGCAAGUCUGGUGCCAGCAGCCGCGGUAAUUCCAGCUCCAAUAGCGUAUAUUAAAGUUGUUGCAGUUAAAAAGCUCGUAGUUGGAUUUCAAGAAACGCAUCUGGGCAACCAGUUUGC
This 498-nucleotide ribosomal RNA is filed under the name uncultured eukaryote. Its description in RNAcentral is "SSU rRNA". It matches the Rfam family "Eukaryotic small subunit ribosomal RNA", at positions 119 to 670 of the family's 1831-position model. The record is from RNAcentral.